Molecule: ribosomal RNA, 253 nt
Filed under: uncultured bacterium
Lineage: Bacteria
Description: partial 16S ribosomal RNA
Rfam family: Bacterial small subunit ribosomal RNA
Source: RNAcentral
UACGUAGGGGGCUAGCGUUGUCCGGAAUCAUUGGGCGUAAAGAGCGUGUAGGCGGUCCGGUAAGUCCGCUGUGAAAGUCGGGGGCUCAACCCUCGAAUGCCGGUGGAUACUGUCGGGCUAGAGUGCGGAAGAGGCGAGUGGAAUUCCUGGUGUAGCGGUGAAAUGCGCAGAUAUCAGGAGGAACACCUAUUGCGAAGGCAGCUCGCUAAGCUGGUAUUGACGCUGAUGCACGAAAGCGUGGGGAUCGAACAGG